AGAGUUUGAUCCUGGCUCAGGACGAACGCUGGCGGCGUGCUUAACACAUGCAAGUCGAGCGGAAAGGCCCUUCGGGGUACUCGAGCGGCGAACGGGUGAGUAACACGUGAGUAACCUGCCCUGGACUUUGGGAUAACCCUCGGAAACGGGGGCUAAUACCGAAUACGACCAUUCACUGCAUGGUGUGAUGGUGGAAAGUUUUUCGGUCUGGGAUGGACUCGCGGCCUAUCAGCUUGUUGGUGGGGUAAUGGCCUACCAAGGCGACGACGGGUAGCCGGCCUGAGAGGGCGACCGGCCACACUGGGACUGAGACACGGCCCAGACUCCUACGGGAGGCAGCAGUGGGGAAUAUUGCACAAUGGGCGGAAGCCUGAUGCAGCGACGCCGCGUGAGGGAUGACGGCCUUCGGGUUGUAAACCUCUUUCAGCAGGGACGAAGCGCAAGUGACGGUACCUGCAGAAGAAGCGCCGGCCAACUACGUGCCAGCAGCCGCGGUAAGACGUAGGGCGCGAGCGUUGUCCGGAUUUAUUGGGCGUAAAGAGCUCGUAGGCGGCUUGUCGCGUCGAAUGUGAAAUCUCAGGGCUCAACUCUGACAUUGCAUUCGAUACGGGCAGGCUAGAGUUCGGUAGGGGAGACUGGAAUUCCUGGUGUAGCGGUGAAAUGCGCAGAUAUCAGGAGGAACACCGGUGGCGAAGGCGGGUCUCUGGGCCGAUACUGACGCUGAGGAGCGAAAGCGUGGGGAGCGAACAGGAUUAGAUACCCUAGUAGUCC
Molecule: ribosomal RNA, 771 nt
Filed under: uncultured bacterium
Lineage: Bacteria
Description: bacterial SSU rRNA
Rfam family: Bacterial small subunit ribosomal RNA
Source: RNAcentral